CAGUCGAACGGACUCAUAUUGAAACCUAGUGAUUUAUGAGUUAGUGGCGGACGGGUGAGUAACGCGUGGAAAACCUGCCGUAUACCGGGGGAUAACACUUAGAAAUAGGUGCUAAUACCGCAUAAGCGCACAGCUUCGCAUGAAGCAGUGUGAAAAACUCCGGUGGUAUACGAUGGUUCCGCGUCUGAUUAGCUAGUUGGCGGGGUAACGGCCCACCAAGGCAGCGAUCAGUAGCCGGCCUGAGAGGGUGAACGGCCACAUUGGGACUGAGACACGGCCCAAACUCCUACGGGAGGCAGCAGUGGGGAAUAUUGCACAAUGGGGGAAACCCUGAUGCAGCGACGCCGCGUGAGUGAAGAAGUAUUUCGGUACGUAAAGCUCUAUCAGCAGGGAAGAAAAUGACGGUACCUGACUAAGAAGCCCCGGCUAACUACGUGCCAGCAGCCGCGGUAAUACGUAGGGGGCAAGCGUUAUCCGGAUUUACUGGGUGUAAAGGGAGCGUAGACGGCAGCGCAAGUCUGGAGUGAAAUGCCGGGGCCCAACCCCGGAACUGCUUUGGAAACUGUGCAGCUUGAGUGCGGGAGAGGUAAGUGGAAUUCCUAGUGUAGCGGUGAAAUGCGUAGAUAUUAGGAGGAACACCAGUGGCGAAGGCGGCUUACUGGACCGUAACUGACGUUGAGGCUCGAAAGCGUGGGGAGCAAACAGG
RNAcentral lists this ribosomal RNA (706 nucleotides) under uncultured bacterium. Its description in RNAcentral is "bacterial SSU rRNA". It matches the Rfam family "Bacterial small subunit ribosomal RNA", at positions 59 to 776 of the family's 1533-position model. The record is from RNAcentral.